ACCCGCUGAACUUAAGCAUAUCAAUAAGCGGAGGAAAAGAAACCAACAGGGAUUGCCUUAGUAACGGCGAGUGAAGCGGCAACAGCUCAAAUUUGAAAUCUGGCCUUUGGCCCGAGUUGUAAUUUGCAGAGGAUGUUUCUGGCGAGGUGCCUUCCGAGUUCCCUGGAACGGGACGCCAUAGAGGGUGAGAGCCCCGUACGGUUGGUCGCUAAGCCUAUGUGAAACUCCUUCGACGAGUCGAGUAGUUUGGGAAUGCUGCUCUAAAUGGGAGGUACACGUCUUCUAAAGCUAAAUACCGGCUAGAGACCGAUAGCGCACAAGUAGAGUGAUCGAAAGAUGAAAAGCACUUUGAAAAGAGGGUUAAAAAGUACGUGAAAUUGUUGAAAGGGAAGCGCUCAUGACCAGACUUGGGCCGGUUGAUCAUCCAUCGUUCUCGGUGGUGCACUCUGCCGGCUCAGGCCAGCAUCAGUUUGGCUCGGGGGAUAAAGACUUCGGGAAUGUGGCUCUCUUCGGGGAGUGUUAUAGCCCGUUGUGUAAUACCCUGGGCUGGACUGAGGUACGCGCUCCGCAAGGAUGCUGGUGUAAUGGUUAU
RNAcentral lists this ribosomal RNA (592 nucleotides) under uncultured fungus. RNAcentral describes it as "eukaryotic LSU rRNA". It matches the Rfam family "Eukaryotic large subunit ribosomal RNA", at positions 23 to 641 of the family's 3401-position model. Lineage: Eukaryota; Fungi. The record is from RNAcentral.